This 65-nucleotide transfer RNA is filed under the name Gastrocopta cristata. Its description in RNAcentral is "tRNA-Glu". Lineage: Eukaryota; Metazoa; Mollusca; Gastropoda; Stylommatophora; Pupillidae. The record is from RNAcentral.
GUCUAGAUAGUAUAAAUUUACAUUACCUUUUCGUGGUAAAAAUAAGAAAUCUUUCUUUUUAGAUA